This 330-nucleotide unclassified non-coding RNA is filed under the name soil metagenome. Its description in RNAcentral is "partial contains 5.8S ribosomal RNA, internal transcribed spacer 2, and large subunit ribosomal RNA". The stretch from base 1 to 120 matches the Rfam family "5.8S ribosomal RNA", at positions 35 to 154 of the family's 154-position model. The record is from RNAcentral.
GAUGAAGAACGCAGCGAAACGCGAUACGUAAUGUGAAUUGCAGAAUUCAGUGAAUCAUCGAAUCUUUGAACGCACAUUGCGCCCCCUGGUAUUCCGGGGGGCAUGCCUGUUCGAGCGUCAUUUCACCACUCAAGCCUCGCUUGGUAUUGGGCAACGCGGUCCGCCGCGUGCCUCAAAUCGACCGGCUGGGUCUUCUGUCCCCUAAGCGUUGUGGAAACUUUCGCUAAAGGGUGUUCGGGAGGCUACGCCGUAAAACAACCCCAUUUCUAAGGUUGACCUCGGAUCAGGUAGGGAUACCCGCUGAACUUAAGCAUAUCAAUAAGCGGAGGA